CUGGUGUGUUCAGAGCGGGUUCCUCUCAGACCAUAGGAUGCCUGUUUAUGCCACACCACACAUUAAAAUGGGGUAAAGAGUACAAAGUGGGACCAGACUCCCUACCACACUGUACCCCUGACAC
Small nucleolar RNA from Megalops cyprinoides (Indo-Pacific tarpon), 124 nucleotides. RefSeq annotates it as small nucleolar RNA SNORA11. The transcript has a single exon. The record is from RefSeq and is a predicted model, not a curated record. Lineage: Eukaryota; Metazoa; Chordata; Actinopteri; Elopiformes; Megalopidae.